AUGAAAUCAGUUGGUGCUGAGCCUGAUAUUGUUACAUACAACACGCUUGUUAAUGGCUAUUGUAGAAAUGGAAGGAUCGAUGAUGGUUUGACUCUGUUCAGGGAAAUGCCACAUAAGAGAAUAAAACCUGACACUGUUACAUAUGGCAUCAUACUAGAUGGGUUGUUUCAUGCUGCAAGAACUGUCGUUGCAAGGAAAAUGUUCCAUGAGAUGAUCGAAAGUGAAACGACAGUGGACAUUCCCGUAUACAAUAUAAUACUUAAAGGCCUUUGUAGAAAUAAUUGUGCAGACGAAGCGAUCGCCAUGUUCCAGAAAUUAGGUGCAAUGAAUGUGAAGUUUGAUAUUGGAACACUCAAUACCAUGAUUAAUUCAUUGUACAAGGUUGGAAGAAAAGAAGAAGCUAAGGAUUUGUUUGCUGCAAUAUCAGCCAGCAGGUUGGUGCCUAAUGCUUCUACUUACAGCAUAAUGAUAAUAAAUUAUCUGAAGGAAGGAUCAGUGGAAGAUGCUAAGCAUAUUUUUUUCAUCAAUGGACAAGAGUGGUAUAGCUCCCAGCUCUCGUCUUAUAAACUAUAUCAUCAGAAUGUUGUUUUUUUGAGAAAAUAUCAUCAGAAUGUUGUUGGAAAAAGG
This 627-nucleotide ribosomal RNA is filed under the name Triticum aestivum (bread wheat). RNAcentral's name for it is "partial small subunit ribosomal RNA". The record is from RNAcentral. Lineage: Eukaryota; Viridiplantae; Streptophyta; Magnoliopsida; Poales; Poaceae.